UACAGAGGUCCCAAGCGUUGUUCGGAUUCACUGGGCGUAAAGGGUGCGUAGGUGGUGAGGUAAGUCGGAUGUGAAAGCUCGGAGCUCAACUCCGAAAUGGCAUUGGAAACUACCUUGCUCGAGGGUUGGAGGGGGGACUGGAAUGCUUGGUGUAGCAGUGAAAUGCGUAGAUAUCAAGCGGAACACCAGUGGCGAAGGCGAGUUCCUGGACAACUCCUGACACUGAGGCACGAAAGCUAGGGGAGCAAACAGG
Molecule: ribosomal RNA, 253 nt
Filed under: uncultured bacterium
Lineage: Bacteria
Description: partial 16S ribosomal RNA
Rfam family: Bacterial small subunit ribosomal RNA
Source: RNAcentral